Molecule: ribosomal RNA, 274 nt
Filed under: uncultured bacterium
Lineage: Bacteria
Description: partial 16S ribosomal RNA
Rfam family: Bacterial small subunit ribosomal RNA
Source: RNAcentral
AUACGGAGGGUGCGAGCGUUAAUCGGAAUUACUGGGCGUAAAGCGUGCGUAGGUGGCUUGGUAAGUCGGAUGUGAAAGCCCUGGGCUCAACCUGGGAACUGCAUUCGAUACUGCCUGGCUAGAGUAUAGUAGAGGGAAGUGGAAUUCCGGGUGUAGCGGUGAAAUGCGUAGAUAUCCGGAGGAACACCAGUGGCGAAGGCGGCUUCCUGGACUAAUACUGACACUGAGGUACGAAAGCGUGGGGAGCAAACAGGAUUAGAUACCCCAGUAGUCC